AAUAGAUACCCUGGUAGUCCACGCCGUAAACGAUGAGUGCUAAGUGUUGGGGGGUUUCCGCCCCUCAGUGCUGCAGCUAACGCAUUAAGCACUCCGCCUGGGGAGUACGGUCGCAAGACUGAAACUCAAAGGAAUUGACGGGGGCCCGCACAAGCGGUGGAGCAUGUGGUUUAAUUCGAAGCAACGCGAAGAACCUUGCCAGGUCUUGACAUCCCGGUGACCACUAUGGAGACAUAGUUUCCCCUUCGGGGGCAACGGUGACAGGUGGUGCAUGGUUGUCGUCAGCUCGUGUCGUGAGAUGUUGGGUUAAGUCCCGCAACGAGCGCAACCCUUAUUCUUAGUUGCCAUCAUUCAGUUGGGCACUCUAAGGAGACUGCCGGUGAUAAACCGGAGGAAGGUGGGGAUGACGUCAAAUCAUCAUGCCCCUUAUGACCUGGGCUACACACGUGCUACAAUGGACGGUACAAACGGUUGCCAACCCGCGAGGGGAGCUAAUCCGAUAAACCGUUCUCAGUUCGGAUUGUAGGCUGCAACUCGCCUACA
Molecule: ribosomal RNA, 543 nt
Filed under: uncultured bacterium
Lineage: Bacteria
Description: bacterial SSU rRNA
Rfam family: Bacterial small subunit ribosomal RNA
Source: RNAcentral